GGACCCGUAGCGCAGCCAGGAUAGCGUACCGGCCUUCGGAGCCGGUGGUCGCGGGUUCAAAUCCCGCCGGGUCCG
RNAcentral lists this transfer RNA (75 nucleotides) under Candidatus Bathyarchaeota archaeon. RNAcentral describes it as "tRNA-Arg". It matches the Rfam family "tRNA". From Rfam's summary of the family: Transfer RNA (tRNA) molecules are approximately 80 nucleotides in length. Their secondary structure includes four short double-helical elements and three loops (D, anti-codon, and T loops). The record is from RNAcentral. Lineage: Archaea; Thermoproteati; Candidatus Bathyarchaeota. RNAcentral also lists the same sequence under 1 other name.